ACACACACACACACGUACAUACAUACAUACAUACAUACAUACGUACAUACAUACAGUAUAUUCAUAUAUAGUUUCUGCUCCUUUCUGCCUUUUUUUCUUAUUUUUCUUUAUAUUUUUUCCUUCUUUUUAUCUUUUUGCCGCCUUCCCCUCGUCGCCUCAUGUCUCGCACUAACUGUUGUGCCGAGGACGCUCCAUAAAUAACAAGGUGACUCCCUCGUCCCUAUUUGCAGGUGGUGAGUGGGGUGGCAGCGGUCGGGGCGCCAUCAGCCAUGCAGGUCCGGGGUGGGAGUGACUGCUCGUCCAGGAGGGAGGGACGAGGGAGGAAAGGGAGACGCUGGAGGGAGAGAAACGAGCUGUGGCCAAGAUCCCGCGGCUCCCUCCCUGCACUUGACUGUCACUGAAAGAGAUGGUUCUACGCCCUCCCGCUCACCCUGACACUCAUUCAACCACGCAAGCACCAAGACGUGGGCGAUGAGCUCUUUAACAUAGAGUAAAUGUAAACGAGAAAUCUCCUGUUCCUUUGCUGCCCUACCUGAGAGCGACCGAAGGUAAAAAUAAUGGUUUAGUUUUAGAUGUGAG
Molecule: long non-coding RNA, 579 nt
Organism: Scylla paramamosain (green mud crab)
Lineage: Eukaryota; Metazoa; Arthropoda; Malacostraca; Decapoda; Portunidae
Exons: 3
Source: RefSeq, a predicted model, not a curated record